This is a long non-coding RNA of Anas platyrhynchos (mallard), 347 nucleotides long. RefSeq lists it as uncharacterized. NCBI's taxonomy places the organism in Eukaryota, Metazoa, Chordata, Aves, Anseriformes, Anatidae. The record is from RefSeq and is a predicted model, not a curated record.
UCUCGGCCGCCGCCAUUUUGUCGGCCGCUGCCGCCGCCCGCCUCCAUCCGCCGCCAUCCGCCGUUGGAGCCGCCGUUAACGCCGCCGCCGCCCGCCGGGACUGAGCGGGGCGGCCCCGCGCCGCCAUGAGGGCCAAGUGGCGCAAGAAGCGAAUGCGCAGGCUGAAGCGCAAGAGGAGGAAGAUGCGGCAGAGGUCCAAGUAGGCGCCGCGCCCGGCCCCGGAGCCCCGGAGCGGAGGAGCCGCGGGGGAGCAGCACGGGGAGCUGGCGGCGGGGCCGCGUGGGGACCGGGGCUGCGCUGUGUAACGGCCCCGGGGCCGCCAAUAAAGCUUGGAUGUGUUCGUUGGA